GCAGCUCGUCCGGCCCGCCCGCAGGCCAGCUUCUCUCGGGAGCCUCCACCCAGGCGCAUGGCUCCAUGAAGCAAGAGGAGGAGGCAGAGCGCGAGAGAUCCCGUCCGCCCCAGCCGCGUCUGGGCCAGGAGAAAAGCAAAACCAUAUUCCUGCUGCUGUCAGUUUUGAUGCACUGAGAAAACUUCAGAGACCUAAGCUUUUUCCAGAGAAGAGAAGCUUUACUGGUGUUCCAGCCCUAAGGCUCAUAUGACAUUAACAGACAAGACACUUUUCAGAAAGACAGGUUGUUCUUUUGGGCCACAUCUAAGAAAUCUUUGUCUAGCCAAAAGCCACAAAUAAUUUCUCAUUUUUUGGCUUCUGGAAGAUGUACAGUUAAAUGUUAUAUUUGGGACUGUUAUCUAAUUUGAUUAAAUUGCACUCUACAAUAUGAUAUUUGAAUUGAUGAAAAAUUAGUAAAUGUUAAUAUUUUUUAAAGUAGCCAAAUCUUGCAAUUUAUAUAUAAUAGAGAAGACUAGAAAAUCCCCCAUAUUUAUUUCCUCUUACUUCGUACUACUAAAAUUUGUAUUUAGGCAUUUGGUUUCUCAGAUAAACAUUACAUUCCCCAGUAUAUGGUUCUAUCUGGCUUGGUGACGACAUGUUGAACAUUAAGAUGUGAGCAGAAGUAAUACAUACACACUCUUUUUAAUGUCUUUAAUUGAAUGGGAUAUUGGCCCAUUUUUUCUUCCAGUUUAUUACACUGAAUAUUGACAUGUUAUUUUCCAAUAUUGAGACAAUCAAUGACAAGACUUUAAGAGUAACAAUGUAAAAAUUAUAGAAGUUGUCUGAGUUUAUCAACAAUCCCCUGGAUUAGAACCCCCUACCAGUUCUAGGUCAUCUAAUAUAUAGACAUUGUGUUCAGUAGAAAUAAAUAUAUAUAUUUUUUAAUAUACUUUAAGUUCUAGGAUACAUGUGCACAACAUGCAGGUUUGUUACAUUGGUAUACACAUGCCAUGUUGGUUUGCUGCACCCAUUAACUCAUCAUUUACAUUAGUUAUUUCUCCUAAUGCUAUCCCUCCCCCUGCCCCCCACCCCCCGACAGGCCCUGGGGUGUGAUGUUCCCCACCCUGUGUCCAAGUGUUCUCAUUGCUCAAUUCCCACCUAUGGGAAUACAUUUUUAAAUCAUUUUUAAAGGUGUUAUUACAUUCUGAUUGAACAUUUUCAGAAAGAAUAAAUAAUUUAAUACAAGAAGUGGGCCACUUCAUGUAACAAAACAAACCACCACUACAGCAACAACAACAAAAAACACUAAUGAAUGU
RNAcentral lists this long non-coding RNA (1295 nucleotides) under Homo sapiens (human). RNAcentral describes it as "HSALNT0359038". The record is from RNAcentral. Lineage: Eukaryota; Metazoa; Chordata; Mammalia; Primates; Hominidae.